CUGGAACUCUUGGAUAUGUGGUGGUCUGGAGGUGGCUUCACUCUCACCAGGUCCUUCCAUGACUUUCUCAGUGAUGCCACACAGGAAAACUUCCACUGUCCUACUGAAACAGAAGAACAAACUUGUUUCCAUAUAGGAUCUAUUCCUUGAGUUCUAGAUUUUGUACUUUGUUGCCUGGGCUUAGUCAUGCUGACUCUACAGUUUUGUAAAAGAAUAUUGCCUAUAGCCUAAAAUAUACAGGCAACCCAUUCUUAAGGCUCUGACUUAAAGGUAUAACAGCUUUCCAUUAAAAAGUUGUGGAAUAGUGAAG
RNAcentral lists this long non-coding RNA (310 nucleotides) under Capra hircus (goat). Its description in RNAcentral is "lncRNA (ENSCHIG00000000555.1)". Lineage: Eukaryota; Metazoa; Chordata; Mammalia; Artiodactyla; Bovidae. The record is from RNAcentral.